This is a non-coding RNA of Hordeum vulgare subsp. vulgare (domesticated barley), 125 nucleotides long. The record is from Rfam. Lineage: Eukaryota; Viridiplantae; Streptophyta; Magnoliopsida; Poales; Poaceae.
CUUAUACUCCCUCCGUCCGAAAAUACUUGUCACAUGUAUGGAUAUAUCUAGAUGUAUUUUAGUUCUAGAUACAUCCAACUUUAUAAAUUUGUGCGACAAGUAAUUCCGGACGGAGGGAGUAUUUA